ACCUUUAAUAAUAGAUCUCUUAGCUCUAGUAUCGAUAACGAAUAUAGCGAAAUACGAUAUAUAAUAUAAAUUAUAGAAUUUAGUAAAUUAUCGAAUCUUUAAAUAUAUAUAGUACCUUCUAAUAUCCUAGGAGGUAUACCUAUCCGAGCAUUAUUUUAACCCUUAAGCCCUAAUAGCUUAGUAUUAAGGAUCUACGUUUAUAAGCCCUUAAAAGUAAUAAUAGACCUAUAUAGCCCUUCCUUAUAUAGUAGUUAUAGCUUAUAUCGGAGUCCUAUAGGCGCUUACCUUUAAACCCCCUAUAAGCUUGCCUUAUAUAGUAAUAGUUAACCUCGGAUUAAAUAGGAAUACUUAUUAAAUUUAAGUAUAUUAAUAAGCGGAGGAAAAGGAAUUAAUAGGGAUUACUUUAAUAAUAGCGAGUAAAGUAGUAAUAGCUUAAAUUUAAAAUCUAGCUCUUUUAGGGUCCGAGUUAUAAUUUAUAGAGGAUACUUCGAGUUAUAGUUCCUUCCGAGUUCCCUAGAAUAGGACGCUAUAGAGGGUAAGAGCCCUAUUUAAUAGGAAACUAUACUUAUAUAAAGCUCCUUUAACGAGUCGAGUAGUUUAGGAAUAUUAUUCUAAAGGGAAAUAUACUCCUUCUAAAGCUAAAUAUUAAUUAAAGACCGAUAAUAUAUAAAUAGAGUAAUCGAAAGAUAAAAAAUACUUUAAAAAGAGAAUUAAAUAAUAUAUAAAAUUAUUAAAAGGGAAGUACUUAUUACUAGAUAUAGGUUUAGUAGUUUAAUUAGGUCUAUAACCUAAGGUACUCUAUUAGCUUAAGCUAGUAUUAGCUUUCUAUUAAGGGUAAAAGUAUCGGGAAUAUAGCUCUCUUUUAAGGGAAUAUUAUAGCUUAUCGUAUUAUACCCUUUAAAGGGCUAAGGUAUACGCUCUAUAAAGAUAUUAAUAUAAUAGUAGGUAAUAACCUAUCUUAAAAUAUAGAUUAAGGAAUUAACCUUACAUAUAAAUACUUAGGUAUAAAACCCUAAUAUAGAAUAAAAGUAAAUAUAAGUAAGAGCUUUAGCAUAUUAUUAAUUAAUCUUAAUAUCCUUAGAUAGAUUUAAAUAAGAGUAUAUAAAAUUAGACCUAAAAGAAGAUAAAUUAUAUAUAUAUAGAGUAAAGCUAGAGGAAACUCUAAUAGAGGCUUAUAGCGGUUCUAAUAUAUAAAUCGAUUAUUAAAUAUAUAUAUAAGAGCGAAAGAUUAAUCGAAUCUUCUAAUAGUUAGUUUCCGCUAAAGUUUCCUUUAAGAUAAUAAUAUUUAUCCUAUUUUUAUAAAAUAAAGCGAAUAAUUAAAGAUUUAGGGGCGCUAUUUAGUUUUUAUCUAUUCUUAAACUUUAAAUAUAUAAGAAGUCUUUAUUAUUUUAUUAAAUAUAGACGUUAAAAUAAAAUAAUAUUAAUAAACUAUUUUUAAUAAAUAGAAUUAGCGAUAUAGGAUAAACUAAAUACGAGGUUAAAGUAUUAGAGUAGAUAUUUAUUAAAUAGUAUAAAAAGUAUUAAUAUAUCUUAAUAAUAGGAUAAUAGCUAUAGAAGUCGGAAUCUAUUAAGGAUUAUAUAAUAACUUAUUUAUUAAAUAUAUUAGCCUUAAAAAUAGAUAGCGCUUAAGCGUCCUACUUAUACCUCGCCCUUAAUAUAGGCUUAGCGUAUCGAGGGGUAAGUAGAUAUAGAGGUCGGUAAUAAAGUCUAGGACGUAAGUCCGAGUAGAACGGCCUCUAAUAUAGAUCUUAAUAAUAAUAAUAAAUAUUUUAAUAAGAACUUAAAGGAUUAAAGUAGGGAAAGGUUCUAUAUAAAUAGUAAUUAGAUAUAAAUUAAUCGAUCCUAAGCUAUAAAAAAGUUCUAUUUUAAAGGGGCGCUUUUACUCUAUAUAGCGAAAGGGAAAUUAAUUAAUAUUCUAAUAAUUAGAUAUAGGUUUUAUAUAAUAAUAUAACCGAAUACGGAGACGAUAGUAGGGGCCCUAGGAAGAGUUCUCUUUUCUUCUUAAUAAUCUAUUACCCUAGAAUCGGUUUAUCCGGAGAUAGGGUUUAAUAGUCGGAAGAGCUUAGCGCUUUUAUUAAAUUUAGUAUAUCCUCGAUAUCCCUUAAAAAUCCGUAGGAGGGAAUAAUUCUUAUACGAGGUUAUACUUAUAACUAUAAUAGGUCUCUAAGGUAAAUAGCCUCUAGUUAAUAGAAUAAUAUAGAUAAGGGAAGUUAGUAAAAUAGAUCUAUAAUUUUGGGAAAAGGAUUAGCUCUAAGGAUCGGGUAUAUUAGGCCUUAAAUAGACGGUUUAAUAGCGGGAGGUUACUAGCUAGGUAAUUAGCUAGAGGCUCUUUAUUACUUAGCUCGAUGCUCUUAGUAAGCUUCGGCCGUUUAGUAUAUAUUUAACGAUUAACUUAGAAUUAAUAUAGAUAGGGGGAAUCUAAUUAUUUAAUUAAAAUAUAGUAUUAUAAUAGCUAGAAAGUAAUAUUAACGUAAUAUAAUUUCUACUUAGUACUCUAAAUAUUAAAAUAAAGUAAUUUAACUAAGUAUAGGUAAAUAGUAGGAGUAAUUAUAACUCUCUUAAAAUAGCUAAAUAUUUUAUUAUCUAAUUAAUAAUAUAUAUAAAUAGAUUAACGAGAUUCCUACUAUCCCUAUCUACUAUCUAGCGAAACUAUAAUUAAAGGAACGGGCUUAGUAGAAUUAAUAGGGAAAGAAGACCCUAUUAAGCUUAACUCUAAUUUAAUAUUAUAAAAAGAUAUAGGAGGUAUAGAAUAAGUAGGAGCUCUAGCGCUAAUAAAAUACUAUUACUCCUAUUAUUUUUUUACUUAUUUAAUAGAGCGGGGCUAGAUUUAUAUUUAAUUUUUAAUAUUAAAGUCCUUCGCGGGCUAACCUAGGUCGGAGAUAUUAUUAAAUAGGGAGUUUAGCUAAGGUAGUAUAUCUAUUAAACUAUAAUAUAGGUAUCUUAAAGGGGGCUUAUAGAGAAUAGAAAUCUUUAAUAGAAUAAAAAGGUAAAAGUCCCUUUAAUUUUAAUUUUUAAUAUAAAUAUAAACUAUAAAAGUAUAGCUUAUCGAUCCUUUAGUCCCUCGGAGUUUAAAGCUAAAGGUACUAGAAAAGUUAUUAUAGGGAUAACUAGCUUAUAGCGGCUAAGCGUUUAUAGUGAUAUUGCUUUUUAAUCCUUUAAUAUUAGCUCUUCCUAUUAUAUUAAAGUAGAAUUCGGUAAGUAUUAGAUUAUUUACUUAUUAAUAGGGAAUAUAAGCUAGGUUUAGAUUAUCGUAAAAUAGGUUAGUUUUACUUUAUUAAUAAUCUUAUUAUAAUAGUAAUUAAGCUUAGUAUAAGAGGAAUUGCUUAUUUAGAUAAUUAGUUUUUAUAGCUAUCCGACUAAGUAAUAUUACGAAGCUAUUAUCUAUUAAAUAAUAGCUAAACGCCUCUAAAUUAGAAUCUAUACUAGAAAGCGACGACGCCUCCUAUAUAUAUAGAUAGAUACGAAUAGGCCUCUAGCUUAACGGCUUAAUAGGUAAAGAACGCUAACGCUCUAGAAAUAGGUAUUAAUACUUUACGAAUUAUAAUUUU
This 3548-nucleotide ribosomal RNA is filed under the name Verticillium dahliae VDG2. RNAcentral describes it as "28S ribosomal RNA". The stretch from base 325 to 3444 matches the Rfam family "Eukaryotic large subunit ribosomal RNA". Lineage: Eukaryota; Fungi; Ascomycota; Sordariomycetes; Glomerellales; Plectosphaerellaceae. The record is from RNAcentral.